This 217-nucleotide long non-coding RNA is filed under the name Lathyrus oleraceus (garden pea). RNAcentral describes it as "Pisum sativum (pea) long non-coding RNA (PSAT_LNC010792)". The record is from RNAcentral. Lineage: Eukaryota; Viridiplantae; Streptophyta; Magnoliopsida; Fabales; Fabaceae.
UAAAUUGUAGUAGGUCCCUAGUGUAGGAAACUACUACUUUGGCUAAAUGAAAAGCGGAAAGGAAAAAGGGAAAAUCAAAGCUCUGAACGGUAAAAGAAAACAAUGUUGCUGAAGAAAAAUAAAAGAAAAACAGAAUUGUUGUGGAAAAAUGCAGAGAGAAAAGGUCUUGAAAGCUGGCUUUAGAGAGAAAAAUUAAGCAUGCCCGUAGGUUUCCAAC